GACGAACGCUGGCGGCGUGCUUAACACAUGCAAGUCGAACGGAAAGGCCCUGCUUUUGUGGGGUGCUCGAGUGGCGAACGGGUGAGUAACACGUGAGUAACCUGCCCUUGACUUUGGGAUAACCUCAGGAAACUGGGGCUAAUACCGGAUAGGAGCUCCUGCUGCAUGGUGGGGGUUGGAAAGUUUCGGCGGUUGGGGAUGGACUCGCGGCUUAUCAGCUUGUUGGUGGGGUAGUGGCUUACCAUGGCUUUGACGGGUAGCAGGCCUGCGAGGGUGACCGGCCACGUUGGAACUGAGAUACGACCCAGACUCCAACGGGAGGCAGCAGUGGGGUAUAUUGCACAAUGGGCGGAGGCCUAGUGCAGCAACGCCGCGUGCGGGAUGACGGCCAUCGGGUUGUAUUCCGCUUUCGCCUGGUACGAAGCGAGAGUGACGGUAAUGGGUGAAGAAGCACCGGCUAACUACGUG
Molecule: ribosomal RNA, 468 nt
Filed under: uncultured bacterium
Lineage: Bacteria
Description: partial 16S ribosomal RNA
Rfam family: Bacterial small subunit ribosomal RNA
Source: RNAcentral